GGAACAUUUCAGCCUGCAGGGAAACUCU
Molecule: non-coding RNA, 28 nt
Filed under: Rattus norvegicus (Norway rat)
Lineage: Eukaryota; Metazoa; Chordata; Mammalia; Rodentia; Muridae
Source: RNAcentral